Molecule: ribosomal RNA, 301 nt
Filed under: uncultured bacterium
Lineage: Bacteria
Description: partial 16S ribosomal RNA
Rfam family: Bacterial small subunit ribosomal RNA
Source: RNAcentral
CAGCAGCCGCGGGAAAACGUAGGGUGCGAGCGUUAAUCGGAAUUACUGGGCGUAAAGCGUGCGCAGGCGGUUGUGUAAGACAGGUGUGAAAUCCCCGGGCUUAACCUGGGAACUGCGCUUGUGACUGCACAGCUAGAGUAUGGCAGAGGGGGGUGGAAUUCCACGUGUAGCAGUGAAAUGCGUAGAUAUGUGGAGGAAUACCGAUGGCGAAGGCAGCCCCCUGGGAUAACACUGACGCUCACGCACGAAAGCGUGGGGAGCAAACAGGAUUAGAUACCCGCGUAGUCCCUGUCUCUUAUAC